AUUUAGAAUCAAGAUCACAAUAUGGUUGAGGAUACACAUGGGUAUAUGCAUGCGAGAGUAUUGUGUCACAAGCGAAAAUAAUACAAAUAUUUAUAUCAGUUGAGGGAAGUUACAAAGCCAAUCGGUAUAUGGAAUAUGGUCAGUUUAGAACACGUUUAGAAAUCAAAGGAUUAUAUCUAUAUACCAUUCCAUAUAAGCACUAGAUAUUAAUCAGCACAAGAAGAAAAGUCGCACAGAAACAUUAGCACGCUGAGCAUUAAGUUUUAAUAGAGGCACAGCACUUAAAACUACAACUUAAAAAACAACUUUUCAGACUGGUAAGGUACGAGAUAUGAAGAUACCCUCCAUUAAAGUGUCAACAAACUCAUCUAGACUAGUUGAGUACUAGGCUAAACAUUUAUUUGCCUUCAACUAUCAACGGUAGACAUCAUACACCCAAAAAACUUUUCUUAGAUUCUUAAACAGAAGUAGUAAACGUUAUAUAUUGGGAAAACCUUUUGGAAAUAAUUGCGUUAGAUGAACAUUUACCAGAUAUUCGUAAAUUUAGUGUUGAAAAGUAACUGUGUGAAAAUAUAUAAUAGAAAUAAAGUGAACUGGCCGCGACUGGGCCACCACACACAAGUGGAACUGAUAGAGGACAAAAUGUUACAUUAUAGGUACUGUUUACAGCCUGUCGAUUCUGUAACUCACUUUACAAAUUCUCACAGCGGAUUCCGCACUCAAAUCACUCCUGAAGGUGUCAGGUUACAAUUUGGUAUUCUGAUAAACAAUAACCGCGACAAAAGCGCCGCUCAAGUGAGAUUGUUUACAUUUGGAACUAUAAUUUAAGACUCACAUCACUUAUGCUCAAAUAGUCUUGUUAUUUCGCAUUCUGAUGACACCAUUUGACAUCUCGUGUGAAUUAAAAUCGGCAGUGAACUCGAUUUUUUACGUCAAAUUAAAAGUUGCUCUUUCCUAGGUGAAAUCAUGAUUUACAAGUGAGUUAGUCAUUUUUUAGCGAAGUUAAAGGCUGUUUUAUGUGAAAAUAUUCUAAUAUAGGACAAUCUAUAUAUAUGUGAAGGCCCGUCCACUUUAAACCUCUAUUUCAAUUAAUAAACUAUGUAAAUAAUUAAAAAAUACUUAAUACAAUAUGUAUGGCGAAGAAAAAGGCAUGAAACGACCAAUUGGUUUCUCGGCCUUGGUUACUAUCACUUUUUUCCAAUACCCAAGACAUUAUGUGGUAUUUACGAAACCUAAAACAUUUCCUAUAUGGGCUGCUGAGAUGAACGAAGAGUCUAGUAAAUAGAUAAUCUAAGAGUUCCAAUGUUCAAAAAAUCCUGGUUGAAUUUUUCUGCCUUUGAAGAAGAAUAUCACAUUUGUAUCAAUGACAAGGACCCUGGAUAUAG
Long non-coding RNA from Pieris rapae (cabbage white), 1385 nucleotides. RefSeq lists it as uncharacterized. NCBI's taxonomy places the organism in Eukaryota, Metazoa, Arthropoda, Insecta, Lepidoptera, Pieridae. The transcript has 3 exons. The record is from RefSeq and is a predicted model, not a curated record.